UACGUAGGGGGCAAGCGUUGUCCGGAAUCAUUGGGCGUAAAGCGUGCGUAGACGGUUGCGUAAGUCAGAUGUGAAAGCCCCGGGCUCAACCUGGGAAUUGCAUUUGAGACUGCGUAGCUAGGGUGCGGAAGAGGGAAGCGGAAUUUCCGGUGUAGCGGUGAAAUGCGUAGAUAUCGGAAGGAACACCAGUGGCGAAAGCGGCUUCCUGGUCCAGCACCGACGUUCAGGCACGAAAGCGUGGGGAGCAAACAGG
This 253-nucleotide ribosomal RNA is filed under the name uncultured bacterium. RNAcentral describes it as "partial 16S ribosomal RNA". It matches the Rfam family "Bacterial small subunit ribosomal RNA", at positions 524 to 776 of the family's 1533-position model. The record is from RNAcentral.